Molecule: unclassified non-coding RNA, 351 nt
Filed under: Hevea brasiliensis (rubber tree)
Lineage: Eukaryota; Viridiplantae; Streptophyta; Magnoliopsida; Malpighiales; Euphorbiaceae
Source: RNAcentral
ACCCAAAAACCUAUUCGGUCUCCUUCUUCGUCUUCUUCUUCUCCAACUAAACCAUAAAAACCCCAUCACCGUGCAAUUUUUUCCCAAUUCUGAAACAAUCAACAACAUGAAGAAAGAGCUUUUCGGGAAAAGGCUUACUGCCUUUUACAAUAGUUUGAUUUUCAACAAGAAAGAUUCAUGGGGGAACUCUGAUGCUGUUGUAAUCCAUUCACAGCAACAAGAAAAUCCGAAUUCUCUGUCAUCCCAGUUCUAUUUAUGGCUUAUGGGUGAAAAACAUGAUGAUACGACAGUAAUCUUUACUCCUAUUGGGAUAUUCUUUUUCUGUACACAGAAAAAUUAUUCCAAGAUUCG